GAUGAACGCUGGCGGCGUGCCUAAUACAUGCGAGUCGAGCGAACAGACGAGGAGCUUGCUCCUCUGACGUUAGCGGCGGACGGGUGAGUAACACGUGGAUAACCUACCUAUAAGACUGGGAUAACUUCGGGAAACCGGAGCUAAUACCGGAUAACAUGUUGAACCGCAUGGUUCAACAGUGAAAGACGGUCUUGCUGUCACUUAUAGAUGGAUCCGCGCCGCAUUAGCUAGUUGGUAAGGUAACGGCUUACCAAGGCAACGAUGCGUAGCCGACCUGAGAGGGUGAUCGGCCACACUGGAACUGAGACACGGUCCAGACUCCUACGGGAGGCAGCAGUAGGGAAUCUUCCGCAAUGGGCGAAAUCCUGACGGAGCAACGCCGCGUGAGUGAAGAAGGUCUUCGGAUCGUAAAACUCUGUUAUUAGGGAAGAACAAAUGUGUACGUAACUAUGCACGUCUUGACAGUACCUAAUCAGAAAGCAACGGCUAACUACGUG
Molecule: ribosomal RNA, 497 nt
Filed under: uncultured bacterium
Lineage: Bacteria
Description: partial 16S ribosomal RNA
Rfam family: Bacterial small subunit ribosomal RNA
Source: RNAcentral